GAUGAACGCUGGCGGCGUGCCUAAUACAUGCAAGUCGAGCGAACAGAUAAGGAGCUUGCUCCUUUGACGUUAGCGGCGGACGGGUGAGUAACACGUGGGUAACCUACCUAUAAGACUGGGAUAACUUCGGGAAACCGGAGCUAAUACCGGAUAACAUUUGGAACCGCAUGGUUCUAAAGUGAAAGAUGGUUUUGCUAUCACUUAUAGAUGGACCCGCGCCGUAUUAGCUAGUUGGUAAGGUAACGGCUUACCAAGGCAACGAUACGUAGCCGACCUGAGAGGGUGAUCAGCCACACUGGAACUGAGACACGGUCCAGACUCCUACGGGAGGCAGCAGUAGGGAAUCUUCCGCAAUGGGCGAAAGCCUGACGGAGCAACGCCGCGUGAGUGAUGAAGGGUUUCGGCUCGUAAAACUCUGUUAUUAGGGAAGAACAAACGUGUAAGUAACUGUGCACGUCUUGACGGUACCUAAUCAGAAAGCCACGGCUAACUACGUG
RNAcentral lists this ribosomal RNA (497 nucleotides) under uncultured bacterium. RNAcentral describes it as "partial 16S ribosomal RNA". It matches the Rfam family "Bacterial small subunit ribosomal RNA", at positions 28 to 507 of the family's 1533-position model. The record is from RNAcentral.